GACGAACGCUGGCGGCGUGCCUAAUACAUGCAAGUCGAACGCAGUGGGGACGGGUGAGUAACCCGUGGGUAACCUCCCAUCAGAGGGGAUAACACUUGGAAACAGGUGCUAAACCGAUACUGAUGGAUGGUCCCGCGGUGCAUGGGCUAGUUGGUGAGUUAACGGCUCACCAAGGCCACGAUGCAUAGACGACCUGAGAGGUGGAUCGGCCACACUGGAACGGAGAAACGGCCCAGAUUCCGACGGGAGGCAGAAGUAGGGAAUAUUCGGCAAUGGACGAAAGUCUGACCGAGCAAAGCCGCGUGAGUGAAGAAGGUGUUCGGAUCGUAAAACUCUGUUGGUAGAGAAGCGGUAUCUAACCAGAAAGCCACGGCUAACUCCGUGCCAGCAGCCGCGGUAAUUC
This 403-nucleotide ribosomal RNA is filed under the name uncultured bacterium. RNAcentral's name for it is "partial 16S ribosomal RNA". It matches the Rfam family "Bacterial small subunit ribosomal RNA", at positions 28 to 526 of the family's 1533-position model. The record is from RNAcentral.